CAAUAGCAUAUAUUAACGUUGUUGCAGUUGAAAAGCUCGUAGUUGAACUUUUGGUAGGAGCGACCUGGCCUUGGGCGCAUGCCCUUGUUUUGCCGUGUGUCGUGUCUGGCCAUCCUUUUCCGCCGUUUGGUGGGAAUCCUUUACUGUGAGUAAACUGGAGUGCUCAAAACAAGACGUUUGUUUGGUACAUUAAAGCAUGGAAUAAUAAGAUAGGACCUGGUUACUAUUUUGUUGGUUUGCAUAGCUGGGUAAUGAUUAACAGGGACAGUUGGGGGUAUUCGUAUUUAAUUGUCAGAGGUGAAAUUCUUGGAUUUAUGAAAGACGAACGACUGCGAAAGCAUUUACCAAGGAUGUUUUCAUUAA
Molecule: ribosomal RNA, 363 nt
Filed under: uncultured eukaryote
Lineage: Eukaryota
Description: partial 18S ribosomal RNA
Rfam family: Eukaryotic small subunit ribosomal RNA
Source: RNAcentral